UCAGAUCGGUACUCCACUCCAUCAACAUCAGUUAAACUGCCAGAGCUCGUUCCCGGAGGAAGGCUUACCCUGACUCUGGUAAUGCUAUGUUCAGGAGGAGUCAUUGUUACUGAAAUACUCGAGAGCUUAGGCCACCCAUGAUUAUCCUAAAGUAAAUGUAGUAUCAUAUAUUUGAGGAGCAUUUCCAAAAGAGUUGCACCAAUUCAAACUUUGACUUUGCUGAUAUACAAACAAUGGCAUAUAUCCAUGGGAAGAUGAGCAAAGACAUGUAUAUUCCGAGUUCUAUAUAUCUACCUUGGCCAUCUGAAAUUAAUCAGUAACCUUUGCAGUAAGAUGAAUGAGAGGUUGCACGAGGCAAGCCACAAAUCAGUCCAAAAGUAAAUCAGUUCACCAUUGCUCCGCCCACUCUCCAUUGGUUUGCAGCCAUCAAUAUCUACUUCAAC
This 443-nucleotide long non-coding RNA is filed under the name Gossypium barbadense (sea-island cotton). Its description in RNAcentral is "long non-coding RNA (GBAR_LNC008392)". The record is from RNAcentral. Lineage: Eukaryota; Viridiplantae; Streptophyta; Magnoliopsida; Malvales; Malvaceae.